GCAAAAUUGCCAAUUCAUUUGACACAUAACCUGUCAUUUGUCAUGCGUGAGCGAAUCACGCUUCAAAUGUCAUUCUGUCAAAUGAAUUGGCGAAUUUGCAUUGUUUUGGUUUAUUGUGGUAAAAUUAUUUUGGCGUGAAUGCGACAUGAAAUCAAUUUACAAAUGUGUUUUUAGUCUAGGAAGUGACAUCGGCAACCAAUCAGUAUCAAGAAUCAAAUCAUCUUAUACAGAAUUUAACGCUCUUCAGAAUGAUAAUAGCCACUUUUUAAUAUUUUUCAUGUGGAAACACCCUAAUGUACACAGAGAUGUGUGUGUACAUAUAUGCUGAAAAAAACGCAUCACAGAGAAUACACACCCCAUACAUACAAUGUGCACACACACUGUGUACUAUAUGUAUGCGGUAUGUGGAGUAGAAAACGAGAGAAAAAUUAUUUCGAGCAUUAUAAAAUAUUAAAAAGUUUCAUUAAAAAUGUUAUUCCGACGAAUAAAUACAUACAUAAUCAAA
This is a long non-coding RNA of Contarinia nasturtii (swede midge), 505 nucleotides long. RefSeq lists it as uncharacterized. The transcript has 2 exons. The record is from RefSeq and is a predicted model, not a curated record. NCBI's taxonomy places the organism in Eukaryota, Metazoa, Arthropoda, Insecta, Diptera, Cecidomyiidae.